RNAcentral lists this ribosomal RNA (254 nucleotides) under uncultured bacterium. RNAcentral's name for it is "partial 16S ribosomal RNA". It matches the Rfam family "Bacterial small subunit ribosomal RNA", at positions 524 to 776 of the family's 1533-position model. The record is from RNAcentral.
UACGGGGGGAGCAAGCGUUGUUCGGAUUUACUGGGCGUAAAGGGCGCGUAGGCGGCCUCUGCAAGUCGACUGUGAAAUCUCCGGGCUUAACCCGGAAAGGUCAGCCGAUACUGCGGGGCUAGAGUGCAGAAGGGGCAACUGGAAUUCUCGGUGUAGCGGUGAAAUGCGUAGAUAUCGAGAGGAACACCUGCGGCGAAGGCGGGUUGCUGGGCUGACACUGACGCUGAUGCGCGAAAGCUAGGGGAGCGAACGGG